CACGUAGGGUGCGAGCGUUGUCCGGAAUUAUUGGGCGUAAAGAGCUCGUAGGCGGUUUGUCGCGUCUGCCGUGAAAGUCCGGGGCUCAACUCCGGAUCUGCGGUGGGUACGGGCAGACUAGAGUGAUGUAGGGGAGACUGGAAUUCCUGGUGUAGCGGUGAAAUGCGCAGAUAUCAGGAGGAACACCGAUGGCGAAGGCAGGUCUCUGGGCAUUAACUGACGCUGAGGAGCGAAAGCGUGGGGAGCGAACAGG
This 253-nucleotide ribosomal RNA is filed under the name uncultured bacterium. Its description in RNAcentral is "partial 16S ribosomal RNA". It matches the Rfam family "Bacterial small subunit ribosomal RNA", at positions 524 to 776 of the family's 1533-position model. The record is from RNAcentral.